This 372-nucleotide ribosomal RNA is filed under the name uncultured organism. RNAcentral describes it as "partial 16S ribosomal RNA". It matches the Rfam family "Bacterial small subunit ribosomal RNA", at positions 527 to 896 of the family's 1533-position model. The record is from RNAcentral.
AGAGGGUGCGAGCGUUAAUCGGAUUUACUGGGCGUAAAGGGUACGUAGGUGGUUUCAUACGUUGUCUGUGAAAUACCCGGGCUUAACCUGGGGGAGUCAUGCGAUACGGUGAGACUAGAGUGAGGGAGAGGGUAGAGGAAUUUCCGGUGUAGCGGUGAAAUGCGUAGAUAUCGGAAGGAACACCCGUGGCGAAGGCGUCUACCUGGCCUAUGACUGACACUGAGGUACGAAAGCGUGGGUAGCGAACAGGAUUAGAUACCCUGGGUAGUCCACGCUGUAAACGAUGAAAACCUAGCUGUUGGUGGCAUCAGUCAUCAGUAGCGGAGCUAACGCGAUAAGUUUUCCGCCUGGGGGAGUACGGCCGCGAGGUUA